This is a long non-coding RNA of Chinchilla lanigera (long-tailed chinchilla), 728 nucleotides long. RefSeq lists it as uncharacterized. The transcript is spliced from 4 exons. The record is from RefSeq and is a predicted model, not a curated record. NCBI's taxonomy places the organism in Eukaryota, Metazoa, Chordata, Mammalia, Rodentia, Chinchillidae.
UGUUAUGGACGGCAAUAUCCCGAUUUCUAUUUGUUUCCUAAGGAAAUAGUUUUAGUGGAUGGUAUUCUGUGGUUUUUCUCUAAGUGUCAUUUGAAACUUCCUCAAAGAGUUAGUGCCCACAGAUUUUUGAAGCAGGAAUUUAGGAAGAAACGGCUACUUUAGACCCAAGGUCUUCCAAUGAUUGUAAAGUUUCACUAGAGGGCGCUCCCACUUCAUGGCCAGGAGGCCGCGAGGACAAAGGACCACAGCGCUCCGGAUGCUUAACUUGCUGUACAUACUGUUUUGUUUUCUCUUUCUCAUUCUUUCUCUUCCACUUUCUCACCCAUCGGAUAAAAAGAAACAAAGUGAGAUCAUACGAGUCUUCCUUUAAAUAUAUGAAGAGAAAUGAACUACACUGAAAAACUAGCAAACAUCGACAAAGCUCUAGAAGUAAAAUAUACCUAAUGCGAAGGACCUAGAGUGGCCAUCAUGUGGGGAAACGUCUCACUGCAAGUGCUAGAUACCAGAACAACCUUACUACAAAUCACCCAACCAACCCAGAGUGAAUAGCCUUGAACAAAGCAUGUUUUAAGGGAAUUGAAGCAUUACAAGCUUCCUUGGCAGCAAAAUCACAUAUUCUUAUCACAAAAAUAAAUGAGAGAAAAGAAGACAUACAUUUCUGUCAAGUUAUGUCAAGACAUAUUUGGUACCGGUGGAGUAAGAAAGAAAAGAAAGGAAGAGAAGGAGGA